Podarcis raffonei (Aeolian wall lizard) is the source of this 269-nucleotide long non-coding RNA. RefSeq lists it as uncharacterized. The transcript is spliced from 2 exons. The record is from RefSeq and is a predicted model, not a curated record. NCBI's taxonomy places the organism in Eukaryota, Metazoa, Chordata, Lepidosauria, Squamata, Lacertidae.
GGAGUACCUAGCAGUAGAGUUGCUGCAGGUACAAGACUCAGACUUGCUAUUUCAGUCCUGUGGAAGAGGCAGACCAGCUUUGUUGGCCAUGAUCAGGGUGGCCCAAGAUAUUUUGACACCUGAGGCAAACCACAAAAUGUACCACCACCUCCUCCAAGGAAAAAGUACGGAUAAAAUGGGAUGAGACCAAUGCCGGAAUGAAUCAUGCUUCCCCGAUGCACAAAUGAAAUUCAAGAGAUUUCUUUCCAAGAAUAAAUCUUCAGAUCCAA